GAUGAACGCUGGCGGCGUGCCUAAUACAUGCAAGUCGAGCGAACAGACGAUGAGCUUGCUCCUCUGACGUUAGCGGCGGACGGGUGAGUAACAUGUGUAUAACCUACCUAUAAGGCUGGGAUAACUUCGGGAAACCGGAGCCAAUACCGGAUAAUAUAUUGAACCGGAUGGUUCAAUAGUGAAAGACGGCUUUGCUGUCACUUAUAGAUGGAUCCGCGCCGCAUUAGCUAGUUGGUAAGGUAACGGCUUACCAAGGCAACGAUGCGUAGCCGACCUGAGAGGAUGAUCGGCCACACUGGAACUGAGACACGGUCCAGACUCCUACGGGAGGCAGCAGUAGGGAAUCUUCCGCAAUGGGCGAAAGCUUGACGGAGCAACGCCGCGUGAGUGAUGAAGGUCUUCGGAUCGUAAAACUCUGUUAUUAGGGAAGAACAAAUGUGUAAGUAACUAUGCACGUCUUGACGGUACCGAAUCAGAAAGCAACGGCUAACUACGUG
This 497-nucleotide ribosomal RNA is filed under the name uncultured bacterium. RNAcentral describes it as "partial 16S ribosomal RNA". It matches the Rfam family "Bacterial small subunit ribosomal RNA", at positions 28 to 507 of the family's 1533-position model. The record is from RNAcentral.